AUGCAGUCGUCGCUACGAUGUGAAAAUCCUACUGGAAAAUGUAUUAGAGCAAUUAUCCGUCUCACUCCGCAGCCGGGUGUAGCAUUAAUAUUCAAUUUUGAUGUGCAAAGUCCUAUUAUGUUAAUGACUUCGGUGACAAAAGUCGGCCGUGGAAGACUUUAUUCUUUAUGGCUCAGCAUCGGCGGGGGUGAGAGCAGCGGGGAUGGAUCACACCCAGCGCUGCCCGUUGUGGGCCGGCAGUGCUGCGGGGCACCCGGUGCUGCAGCCGCCCUCCUUUGUUCUCUGUGGGGCUGGGGGGUGUGCGGGGCUCCUUCCACUGCGCUGCCGGGAUCGGGGCUGCCCCGAGGCGAUGCGGGUGGAGGGUGGGCAGCGCUGCGGACCCGUAUGGAUGGAUGGACACAUGGAUGGACACGGAGGUGGGUGGGUGGNNNNNNNNNNNNNNNNNNNNNNNNNNNNNNNNNNNUGGAUGGAUGGAUGGAUGGAUGGAUGGAUGGAUGGAUGGAUGGAUGGAUGGAUGGAUGGAUCAAGGUCGCAACCAGAGCGCGGCGCCGCUGUUGCCGACCCCUGUCGUUAUUGAACGGCCCCGCAGCUCACUGGGGACACGGAGCCGAACCCGCGGUGCUCAUUGCUGCCCCAUGGGACGGGAACGGGACACGGAGAUGGGCAGAAAAGGGGCAAAACGGCAUUGCCCGUGAGCCCGGGGGGGGGGGAGGUUGUGGGGUGGACCCCCUGCAGACCCCACCGGGGCGGGGGUUAAUAGACAGGCAGCCCCUCGGGGUCCGUGUGAUCCCCCUGGGCCCACCCACGGCCCCAUCACGGCUCAGGGACCCGCUGCGUUGGCACCGUGUGUCCGGAUGGGGUCGGGGUGUUUGGGGUGUUAACGGGGGCAGCCCCGCGCUCUGUCCCGCGGUGGCGGCGCCGCGCGCACGUGGCCGAGCUGGGGCAUCCCCGGCCGCGCCACGCCGCCCCUCCCCCCGCUCUCCCAUUGGUCAGCCCUUCCCCCCGCCGCGCUCCCAUUGGUCCCUGAGCCCUCCACAAACAAAGGCCGGCGCCCGCGGGGGCUCCGCGCGCCGCUCUCAUUGGUGGGUUGUUGGCGGGAGUGGGCGGAGCCAGAGUGCAGCGGGUCCCGCCCUCCGCGCCGCGCCAGUUGCCUUAUAA
This 1158-nucleotide long non-coding RNA is filed under the name Coturnix japonica (Japanese quail). RNAcentral describes it as "lncRNA (ENSCJPG00005021241.1)". Lineage: Eukaryota; Metazoa; Chordata; Aves; Galliformes; Phasianidae. The record is from RNAcentral.